ACCUGUGCUGGUGGUUCUGUAGAAACACACUGUUUGAAAUCCGAAGAGCAGUGUAAAAGGAUGGUGAUUGAUGGUGCUCGCUAUUCUUUUAUACAUAUGCAAAUCAUAUUUAUUCUGAGACUGCACUCUAUUAUGUAGACUUUGGGUAGAGAAGAAUGACUGAGAAAAGCCAACCUCGUGAGGAUUUUCCCAGGGCAGAGGUGGGUGAUUGAGGACCAAGAGCUUCAAAAUCAUGGAACCUCAAGAUGGACUACUUAAAUGAAAAUCAAAUUCUAAGUUUAACCGCCUUCCUCAAUGCUGGGAGUGAAUAGAAAAAGGGGAGUCAUUGGUGAAGAUAUGAUAUGGUCAAGAAGGAGAAAAAACUCUCCAGUAAAACAAAAUGUUCUCAGAUAACCACUACCCCAAAUUGAUUACAUCUCCUAUUUCUAUAGGCAGAGGUAGAAAAAGAGAGAAAACCUAAAGAUCCUACUAGGCCAUGAAAACAAGAAUAUUUUCAACAAAUUAAAUCUGUGAACUCUGUGUUCACUGAGUGAUGUGAAUUUCAGAUCACAAUGUGGAACAUUUUGUCAUCAGCUCCAUAUCUAACUGUGAAAAGUGAUCUUACGCUUGGAUAGGAAAGUUUGCUGUGACAACCGAGGCGGAUUAAUAAAAUCAGCUGUACUUACUGAGGAGCGAGCUGGAAACAACCUUUUUUUCCUCACCACAGCUCUAUAAACCUGCUUCUGAGGCUCCACUUUUCUGUGUUUGCCCAAUAAAUUGGACAGAGGCCACAACCUUCCAGUGCCUUUUGGA
Molecule: non-coding RNA, 792 nt
Organism: Ictidomys tridecemlineatus (thirteen-lined ground squirrel)
Lineage: Eukaryota; Metazoa; Chordata; Mammalia; Rodentia; Sciuridae
Source: RefSeq, a predicted model, not a curated record